Molossus molossus (Pallas's mastiff bat) is the source of this 337-nucleotide long non-coding RNA. RefSeq lists it as uncharacterized. Lineage: Eukaryota; Metazoa; Chordata; Mammalia; Chiroptera; Molossidae. The transcript is spliced from 3 exons. The record is from RefSeq and is a predicted model, not a curated record.
AGGAAACAGAGGCUCAGAGAAGUCAUACAGUGUCUCAAGGUCACACAACUGGUGUGAACUCUUCAGCGCUACAGAUUGUGUCUCACUUCCUCAGCAUCCCUACAGAGACCAGCCUAUGGCUGAACACAGAGUGAAAGCCCUGAGGUGGCUUCUCACUGCUUCCUCAUCCAGGCUCCAGUGUGUCCUGCCCCUCCAUUCUGAAGCACAGCAAUUUGAAGGCUCCAUUAGAACAGGCCAUACCUUAAGCCCCUGUGGGGCUCACUCUCAGGCCCAGUGAGGAAUGCUCUCCCACUGUACUGUAGAAAAAAGGAAGAGAAACAAUUUCAAGAAGACCAAA